GAGUUUGAUCAUGGCUCAGGAUUAACGCUGGCGGCAUGCCUAAUACAUGCAAGUCGAACGGAGUAGCAAUACUUAGUGGCGAACGGGUGAGUAACACGUAUCUAAUCUACCAUUUAGUUGGGAAUAACUGUUGGAAACGACAGCUAAUACCGCAUAAUAUUGCUGGAUAAUUUCCAGUAAUGAAAGGAGCUUUCAAGCUCCGCUGAUUGAUGAGGAUGCGGCGCAUUAGCUAGUUGGUAGGGUAAUGGCCUACCAAGGCAAUGAUGCGUAGCCGAUCUGAGAGGAUGAACGGCCACAUUGGGACUGAGACACGGCCCAAACUUCUACGGAAGGCAGCAGUAGGGAAUUUUUCACAAUGGGCGAAAGCCUGAUGGAGCAAUGCCGCGUGACUGAUGAAGGUCUUCGGAUUGUAAAGGUCUGUUGUAAGGGAAGAAAUGGUAAAACAGGAAAUGGUUUUAUCUAUGACGGUACCUUACCAGAAAGCCACGGCUAACUAUGUGCCAGCAGCCGCGGUAAUACAUAGGUGGCAAGCGUUAUCCGGAUUUAUUGGGCGUAAAGGGUGCGUAGACGGUUUUGCAAGUCUGAGGUUAAAUUUAGGAGCUCAACUCCUAAUCGCCUUGGAAACUACAAGACUAGAGUAUAGGAGAGGUUAGUGGAAUUCCAUGUGUAGCGGUGGAAUGUGUAGAUAUAUGGAGGAACACCAGUGGCGAAGGC
This 714-nucleotide ribosomal RNA is filed under the name uncultured Spiroplasma sp. Its description in RNAcentral is "bacterial SSU rRNA". It matches the Rfam family "Bacterial small subunit ribosomal RNA", at positions 9 to 722 of the family's 1533-position model. Lineage: Bacteria; Bacillati; Mycoplasmatota; Mollicutes; Entomoplasmatales; Spiroplasmataceae. The record is from RNAcentral.